UGAACUCAUUGAGAGUUGAGGCAGCGCAUGUCUCAUGCCAGUGCUUAGACACUCAAAUUUUCACAGCAUCUGAGAUGAAGUAGGACCACCCGCUGAACUUAAGCAUACCAUUAAGCGGAGGAAAAGAAACUAACAAGGAUUCCCUUAGUACGGGCGACGGAAGCGGGAAAAGCCCACACUGGUAAUCUCCGUGCGUUAGUACGGCGAAUUGUAAUCUGAAGAGUUGAUGUCAUGGCCAGGAGGAGACGCAGAAGUGUCCACGAGCGGACCGCCAAAGAGGGUGAGAGCCCCGUCUGUAGUGUUUUCUUCAGUCUGAUAUCGGCCCAAAGAGUCGUGUACCUUGAUACUGGUGCACCAAGCGGGAGAUAAACUUCUUCUAAGGCUAAAUAUAAGUAGGAAACCGAUAGCGAACAAGUACUGUGAAGGAAAGAUGAAAAGCACUUUGGAAAGAAAGUUAAAAGACCUGAAAUCGUUGAGGCGGAAGCGGUAGAAAUGAAUUCUUCGCCAUGGUAGGUGGGAAGCCUGCGGUCGCGGGUUACUUCUUGCCUGGCGUGAGACAAGAUGGAGUCGGCAGGUGCCAGAGACGCUGUGGCCGGACCUCACGGUCUAGCCAUAGUGGCCGGGUAGCCAGCCGGCUUGAGGGGCUUUGUGCGAUCUUGUCAAAAUGGUUUUUACCGACCCGUCUUGAAACACGGACCAAGGAGUCUAAGACUAGCGCGAGUGUGGUGGUGGAGAAACCAACACGCGAAAUGAAAGUAAAUGGUGCCAACUUCGGUGCAGCACCGACCGACCAUGAUCCACUGGUGAAAGGUUUGAGUAAGAGCGUUAUUCUUAGGACCCGAAAGAUGGUGAACUAUGCCUGUGUAGGGUGAAGUCAGGGGAAACUCUGAUGGAGGCUCGUAGCGAUACUGACGUGCAAAUCGUUCGUCGAACAUGGGUAUAGGGGCGAAAGACUAAUCGAACCAUCUAGUAGCUGGUUCCCGCCGAAGUUUCCCUCAGGAUAGCUGGGACAACCACGCAGUUUUAUUAGGUAAAGCGAAUGAUUAGAGGCAUCGGGGACGGAAUGUCCUUGACCUAUUCUCAAACUUUAAAUUGGUAAGAACUCCUGUCUUUCUUAAGUGAAGCGGGAGGUUCAAUGCGUGUCCUUAGUGGGCCAUUUUUGGUAAGCAGAACUGGCGAUGAGGGAUGCUCCUAACGUUGGGUUAAGGUGCCAAACUACACGCUCAUCAGAAACUACAAAGGGUGUUAGUUCAUCCAGACAGCAGGACGGUGGCCAUGGAAGUCGGAAUCCGCUAAGGAGUGUGUAACAACUCACCUGCCGAAUG
This 1325-nucleotide ribosomal RNA is filed under the name uncultured Tintinnida. RNAcentral's name for it is "eukaryotic LSU rRNA". It matches the Rfam family "Eukaryotic large subunit ribosomal RNA", at positions 1 to 1303 of the family's 3401-position model. Lineage: Eukaryota; Ciliophora; Spirotrichea; Tintinnida. The record is from RNAcentral.